UACGUAGGGUGCAAGCGUUAAUCGGAAUUACUGGGCGUAAAGCGCGUGUAGGCGGUCCGGUAAGUCCGCUGUGAAAGUCGGGGGCUCAACCCUCGAAUGCCGGUGGAUACUGUCGGGCUAGAGUGCGGAAGAGGCGAGUGGAAUUCCUGGUGUAGCGGUGAAAUGCGCAGAUAUCAGGAGGAACACCAACGGCGAAGGCAGCUCGCUAGGACGGUACUGACGCUGAGGCGCGAAAGCGUGGGGAGCGAACAGG
RNAcentral lists this ribosomal RNA (253 nucleotides) under uncultured bacterium. RNAcentral describes it as "partial 16S ribosomal RNA". It matches the Rfam family "Bacterial small subunit ribosomal RNA", at positions 524 to 776 of the family's 1533-position model. The record is from RNAcentral.